GACGAACGCUGGCGGCGUGCUUAACACAUGCAAGUCGAACGGACAGCCCCUUCGUUUGGGGUGAGUUGGGGAGGGGUGCGUGAGAGGUGGACAAGCGGACCCCGGCCCUGGGAUAACUACAAGACUUUGGAACUCAUACCGUAAGUUCACCGCUUCUCCUGUGGCUGGUGGUGGAAAGGGUAGUCGCGUGGUGAUGGGCUCGACGCUUAUCAGCUUGUCGGUGGUGUAGUGGCAUACCAAGCCCAGGACUGGUAGCCGGCCAGAGAGGGUGACCGGCCACACUGGGACUGAGAGACGGACCAGACGCGUACGGGAGGCAGCAGUGGGGAAUAUUGCGCAAUGGGCGGAAGCCUGACGCAGCGACGUCGCGUGCGGGAUGACGGCCUUCGGGUUGUAAACAUCUUUCAGCAGGGACGAAGCGCAAGUGACGGUACCUGCUGAAGAAGCACCGGCUAACUACGUG
Molecule: ribosomal RNA, 463 nt
Filed under: uncultured bacterium
Lineage: Bacteria
Description: partial 16S ribosomal RNA
Rfam family: Bacterial small subunit ribosomal RNA
Source: RNAcentral